This 69-nucleotide small RNA is filed under the name Cedecea sp. NFIX57. RNAcentral describes it as "Retron msr RNA". It matches the Rfam family "Retron msr RNA". From Rfam's summary of the family: Retron elements are found in a wide range of mainly Gram-negative bacteria. The retron encodes a reverse transcriptase that is responsible for the production of a small satellite DNA called msDNA (multi-copy single-stranded DNA). msDNA has both DNA (encoded by the retron msd gene) and RNA (encoded by the msr gene) components. The 5' end of msDNA is linked to an internal guanosine residue of the RNA strand by a 2'-5' linkage. The record is from RNAcentral. Lineage: Bacteria; Pseudomonadati; Pseudomonadota; Gammaproteobacteria; Enterobacterales; Enterobacteriaceae.
GCUCUUUAGCGUUAGGGAACCAUUGCGUUCUAGCCGGGCGAUAAGCCAGGCUCUAAUUUAUUGGUCAGU